This 1356-nucleotide ribosomal RNA is filed under the name human gut metagenome. RNAcentral describes it as "bacterial LSU rRNA". It matches the Rfam family "Bacterial large subunit ribosomal RNA", at positions 932 to 2300 of the family's 2925-position model. The record is from RNAcentral.
CCGCCUAUCAAGUCUUGACAAACUCCGAAUGCGCAUCAGUUUUACCUCAGGAGUGAGGGCAUGGGUGCUAAGGUCCGUGCCCGAGAGGAGAAGAAUCCGGACCACCUGCUAAGGUCCCGAAAUGACAGCUAAGUUAAACUAACGAAGUCUGACUGCUAAGACAGCUAGGAUGUUGGCUUGGAAGCAGCCAUUCAUUUAAAGAGUGCGUAACAGCUCACUAGUCGAGGAGUCUGGCGUGGAUAAUAAUCGGGUAUUAAGUUGUCUACCGAAGCAGUGGGAUCAUUGAAAUGAUCGGUAGGGGAGCAUUCCAGUCAGCGUCGAAGGCGUACCGCGAGGUAUUCUGGAGCGUCUGGAAAAGCAAAUGUAGGUAUAAGUAACGAUAAAGGGGGCGGGAACCCCCCUCGCCGAAAGACUAAGGUUUCCUGAUCAACGCUAAUCGGAUCAGGGUAAGUCGGGUCCUAAGGCUCAGCCGAAGGGCGAUGCCGAUGGCAGAAACGGUUAAUAUUCCGUUACUACCUCCAGGAGUGAUGUGGAGACGCAGUAGUGACAAUGCCGCCAUCUGACGGAAUAGAUGGUUGAAGGGUGUAGAUGUUGAUCUUGGCAGGCAAAUCCACCAUGAGAAUCGAACCUGAUAGUAUGCCGCGUCCCUCGGGACAAGGCAAUAGUGCAUGUAAUCAUGCUGCCAAGAAAAUCCGCUAAACAAAAUCCUGUAGGUACCCGUACCGUAAACGGACACACGUAGUCGGGAUGAAUAUUCUCAGGCGCUUGAGUGAAUCACGGUUAAGGAACUAGGCAAACUGACCCUGUAACUUCGGGAUAAAGGGUCCCUCGCUUACGGGAGGCGCAGAGAAUAGGUCCAGGCAACUGUUUAACAAAAACACAGGGCUGUGCUAAAUCGAAAGAUCCUGUAUACAGCCUGACACCUGCCCGGUGCUGGAAGGUUAAGAGGAGACGUCAUCGUUGAGAGAAGCGUUGAAUUGAAGCCCCAGUAAACGGCGGCCGUAACUAUAACGGUCCUAAGGUAGCGAAAUUCCUUGUCGGGUAAGUUCCGACCUGCACGAAUGGUGUAAUGAUCUGGACGCUGUCUCAACCGUGAGCUCAGUGAAAUUGUAGUAUCGGUGAAGAUGCCGAUUACCCGCGAUGGGACGAAAAGACCCCGUGAACCUUUACUAUAGCUUAUCAUUGAAUCUGGGCACGUGAUGUGUAGGAUAGGUCGGAGGCUUUGAAGGGGGUACGCCAGUAUCCUUGGAGCCGCUGUUGAAAUACGACCCUUCAUUUGUUUGGAUUCUAACCCGUGUAUAUGGGGACACUGAUUGGUGGGUAGUUUGACUGGGGUGGUCGCCUCCAAAAGCGUAA